Molecule: ribosomal RNA, 707 nt
Filed under: Ophiocordyceps sphecocephala
Lineage: Eukaryota; Fungi; Ascomycota; Sordariomycetes; Hypocreales; Ophiocordycipitaceae
Description: eukaryotic LSU rRNA
Rfam family: Eukaryotic large subunit ribosomal RNA
Source: RNAcentral
UUGUAAUUUGCAGAGGAUGCUUUUGGUGCGGCGCCAUCCGAGUUCCCUGGAACGGGACGCCAUAGAGGGUGAGAGCCCCGUCUGGUUGGAUGCCUAGCCUCUAUAAAGCUCCUUCGACGAGUCGAGUAGUUUGGGAAUGCUGCUCAAAGCGGGAGGUAUAUGUCUUCUAAAGCUAAAUACCGGCUAGAGACCGAUAGCGCACAAGUAGAGUGAUCGAAAGAUGAAAAGCACUUUGAAAAGAGGGUUAAAUAGUACGUGAAAUUGCUGAAAGGGAAGCGCUUAUAACUAGACGUAGGCGCUACUAAUCACCUAGUAUUUUUACUAGGGUAUUUAGUAGUGCCUAGGCCAGCAUCGGUUUGCUACGGGGGAUAAAGACGCUUGGAACGUGGCCCCCCUUGGGGGGUGUUAUAGCCUUGCGUGUAAUGCUCUGUAGUGGACCGAGGACCGCGCAUCUGCAAGGAUGCUGGCGUAAUGGUUAUUAGUGACCCGUCUUGAAACACGGACCAAGGAGUCGUCCUCGUAUGCAAGUGUUUGGGUGUAAAACCCCUACGCGGAAUGAAAGUGAACGCUGGUGAGAGCCCCUUGGGGUGCAUCACCGACCGAUCCUGAUGUUCUCGGAUGGAUUUGAGUAUGAGCAUACGGGGCCGGACCCGAAAGAAGGUGAACUAUGCCUGCGUAGGGUGAAGCCAGAGGAAACUCUGGUGGAG